RNAcentral lists this transfer RNA (77 nucleotides) under Oscillibacter valericigenes. RNAcentral's name for it is "tRNA-Ile". It matches the Rfam family "tRNA". From Rfam's summary of the family: Transfer RNA (tRNA) molecules are approximately 80 nucleotides in length. Their secondary structure includes four short double-helical elements and three loops (D, anti-codon, and T loops). Lineage: Bacteria; Bacillati; Bacillota; Clostridia; Eubacteriales; Oscillospiraceae. The record is from RNAcentral. RNAcentral also lists the same sequence under 14 other names.
GGGCCUUUAGCUCAGUUGGUUAGAGCAGCUGGCUCAUAACCGGCCGGUCCCGGGUUCGAAUCCCUGAAGGCCCACCA